RNAcentral lists this ribosomal RNA (816 nucleotides) under methanogenic endosymbiont of Caenomorpha sp. RNAcentral's name for it is "bacterial SSU rRNA". It matches the Rfam family "Archaeal small subunit ribosomal RNA", at positions 33 to 857 of the family's 1478-position model. Lineage: Archaea; Methanobacteriati; Methanobacteriota; Methanomicrobia; Methanomicrobiales; Methanomicrobiaceae. The record is from RNAcentral.
UUGGGGUUCGAUUAAGCCAUGCGAGUCGAGAGGUCCAAGACCUCGGCAUACUGCUCAGUAACACGUGGACAAUCUAACCUAUGGAGAGGGAUAAUCCCGGGAAACUGGGGCUAAUACCUCAUAGACUAUGAAUGCUGGAAUGCUUCGUAGUUCAAAGGUCCGCCGCCAUAGGAUGGGUCUGCGGCCGAUUAGGUAGUUGUUGGGGUAACGGCCCAACAAGCCUGUAAUCGGUACGGGUUGUGGGAGCAAGAGCCCGGAGAUGGAUUCUGAGACACGAAUCCAGGCCCUACGGGGCGCAACAUGCGCGAAAACUUUACAUUGCGGGAAAUCGUGAUAAGGGAACUCCUAGUGCCCGUUAAAUCGGGCUGUCCAUCAGUUUAAAAAACUGGUGAAGAAAGGGCCGGGCAAGACCGGUGCCAGCCGCCGCGGUAAUACCGGCGGCUCGAGUGGUGGCCACUAUUACUGGGCUUAAAGCGUUCGUAGCUGGUUUGUUAAGUCUCUGGGGAAAUCUUCCGGCUUAACCGGAAGGCGUCUCAGGGAUACUGGCAGACUAGGGACCGGAAGAGGUGAGGGGUACUCCAGGGGUAGGAGUGAAAUCCUGUAAUCCUUGGGGGACCACCUGUGGCGAAGGCGCCUCACCAGGACGGCUCCGACAGUGAGGGACGAAAGCUGGGGGAGCAAACCGGAUUAGAUACCCGGGUAGUCCCAGCCGUAAACGAUGUGCGUUAGGUGUAUCGGUGACCACGAGUCACCGAGGUGCCGAAGAGAAAUCGUGAAACGUACCGCCUGGGAAGUACGGUCGCAAGGCUGAAACUA